Molecule: non-coding RNA, 91 nt
Filed under: Columba livia (rock pigeon)
Lineage: Eukaryota; Metazoa; Chordata; Aves; Columbiformes; Columbidae
Also listed under: 3 other names
Description: microRNA cli-mir-99 precursor
Gene: cli-mir-99
Rfam family: mir-10 microRNA precursor family (bases 10-81)
About the family: In this case the mature sequence comes from the 5' arm of the precursor. The extents of the hairpin precursors are not generally known and are estimated based on hairpin prediction. The products are thought to have regulatory roles through complementarity to mRNA.
Source: miRBase by way of RNAcentral
GAUGCCAAUUGGCAUAAACCCGUAGAUCCGAUCUUGUGUUGAAACGCACUGCACAAGCUCGCUUCUAUGGGUCUGUGUCAGUAUGGUGAUC